GUUCUGCAGUAAUAAUAAUAUAAAGAAAACAAGAGCAACAGGUGCACAAACACCUCAUAGCAUCAGUAUCAUGACAACCCUACAUAGUACGUUUUCCUCAUUGUUUGUAAUAUCUGCACAAAGGAGACAUCGAUCAGCUGCUCAAAGAUCUUGCCUUUGGAGAAGACUGUUGAUUUUACAUUUGAAAAAUUGAACUGGUCAGCAGAAGGUUGCUGGAUCGAUCUCCGCAGUCAUCACAACCGGUGUCUUUACUCCAGGUUGCUGCAGGGGGUUUGGGGUCCCUGUAAUAAGAGCACUAUGCUCUAGCUGACUCUGGGGUCACUGAAGAUGAAGAGGCCACACAUCCGGCCCAGAUGAGGCAGUAAGGUCAGGUGGAGUGAUGGAGCGUCUCAUCCAUGGCACUAGACCAUUUCCAGGAUGCUGCUGUGGACUCUCCAUCCUCACUGCACACAGCAUUCUCCAGACAUUUCAGAUCCUGCAAACAUGCACAAACACAAUAGAAAAGCAGUCAUUUUAACAGAACAAUGUCAUCUGAUUUCUGUAUAAGAAGUAACGAAAUGAGCUUACUUUGUAUUUUUAUUUCAGGGUUUCCUUUUUUUCACAAAUGCUGCUGUCACCUGCUCCACCACAAAAGCUCUGCAUCAAAU
Molecule: long non-coding RNA, 647 nt
Organism: Cyprinus carpio carpio
Lineage: Eukaryota; Metazoa; Chordata; Actinopteri; Cypriniformes; Cyprinidae
Source: Ensembl